AUUGAACGCUGGCGGCAUGCCUAACACAUGCAAGUCGAACGGUUUAUGGAGCUUGCUUCAUAGAUAGUGGCGGACGGGUGAGUAAUAUGUAGGAAUCUGCCUUGAGGAGGGGGAUAACUUGGGGAAACGCAAGCUAAUACCGCGUAAGUCGGAGACGAGAAAGCAGGGGACCGAAAGGCCUUGCGCCUUAAGAUGAGCCUACAUCGGAUUAGCUAGUUGGUGGGGUAAAGGCCUACCAAGGCGAUGAUCCGUAGCUGGUCUGAGAGGAUGACCAGCCACACUGGGACUGAGACACGGCCCAGACUCCUACGGGAGGCAGCAGUGGGGAAUAUUGGACAAUGGGGGAAACCCUGAUCCAGCAAUGCCGCGUGUGUGAAGAAGGCCUUCGGGUUGUAAAGCACUUUCAGUGGGGAAGAAGGAUGUAUGGUUAAUACCCAUGCAUUUUGACGUUAACCACAGAAGAAGCACCGGCUAACUCUGUGCCAGCCGCCGCCGUAA
This 498-nucleotide ribosomal RNA is filed under the name uncultured bacterium. Its description in RNAcentral is "partial 16S ribosomal RNA". It matches the Rfam family "Bacterial small subunit ribosomal RNA", at positions 30 to 523 of the family's 1533-position model. The record is from RNAcentral.